Molecule: ribosomal RNA, 528 nt
Filed under: uncultured bacterium
Lineage: Bacteria
Description: bacterial SSU rRNA
Rfam family: Bacterial small subunit ribosomal RNA
Source: RNAcentral
AGAGUUUGAUCCUGGCUCAGAUUGAACGCUGGCGGCGUGCCUUACACAUGCAAGUCGAACGUGAAAGUACCUUCGGGUAUGAGUAAAGUGGCGCACGGGUGAGUAACGCGUGGAUAAUCUACCGGGAAGUUCGGAAUAACAGCUGGAAACGGUUGCUAAUACCGGAUACACUACAUAUAAACGUAUGUGGGAAAGACGGCCUCUGCAUAUGCUGUUGCUUUCCGAUGAGUCCGCGUACCAUUAGCUAGUUGGUGGGGUAAAGGCCUACCAAGGCGACGAUGGUUAACUGGUCUGAGAGGAUGAUCAGUCACACUGGAACUGGAACACGGCCCAGACUCCUACGGGAGGCAGCAGUGGGGAAUAUUGCGCAAUGGGCGAAAGCCUGACGCUGCGACGCCGCGUGAGGGAUGAAGGUCUUCGGAUCGUAAACCUCUGUCAGCAGGGAAGAACGGUCACUGUGCUAAUCAGCAGUGAAUUGACGGUACCUGCAAAGGAAGCACCGGCUAACUCCGUGCCAGCAGCCGCGGU